CCCCGAUUUAGCCGCCCCGAGGUUUCGGUUCCUCCUCGGCGCCGCGCCGGCGAUGACGCGCGACGGGGAGGGGAGAGGGGGGAGUGCCAGAGGUUGGGGGGGCCGAGAUUUGGGAUGGCCAAGAUUUGGGAUGGCCAAGAGUUGGAUGGCCAAGACAGUGCAUGGCCAAGAGGUUGGAAGUCCAAGAGGUGGGAAGUCCAAGAGGUUGGAUGUCCAAGACAUUGGAUGUCCAAGAUUUUGGAUGUCCAAGAGAAUUGAUGUCCAAGAGGUUUGAGUUGUCCCAGAGGUUGGAUGGCCAAGACAUUGGAUAUCCAAGAGAUUUGAUGUCCAAGAGAUUUGAUGUCCAAGAUUCUGGAUGUCUGAGAGAAUUGAUGUCCAAGAGGAUUGUUGUCCAAGAUUUUGGAUGUCCAAGAGAUUGGAUGUCCAAGAGAUUGGAUGUCCAAGAGAUUGGAUGUCCAAGAGUUUGGAGGUCCAAGACAUGGAAGUCCAAGACAUUGGAUUUCAAGACGUUGGAUCCCCCAGUCAUGGGAUGUCCAAGAGCUUGGAUGUCCAAGAGGUUGAAUUCUGAGAUGUUGGAUGUCCAAGAGGAUUGUUGUCCAAGAUUCUGGAUGUCCAAGAUUUUAGAUGUUCAAAAAGUUGGAUGUCCAAGGGGUUCAAUGUCCAAGGGGUUGGAUGUCCAAGAGAUUGGAUGUCCAAGAUUUGGAUGUCCAAGAUUUGGAUGUCCAAGACAUUGGAUGUCCAAGAGAUUGGACUCUGAGAUGUUGGAUGUCCAAGACAAUGGAUGUCCAAGACAUUGGAUAUCCAAGAUUUUGGAUGUCCAAGAUUUGGAUGUCCAAGACAUUGGAUAUCCAAGAUUUUGGAUGUCCAAGAUUUGGAUGUCCAAGAUUUGGAUGUCCAAGAGGUUGGAUGUCCAAGAGAUUGGAUGUCCAAGAUUUGGAUGUCCAAGAUUUGGAUGUCCAAAACCUGGCACGUCCAAGAAUUUGCAUGUCCAACCCAUUGGAUGUCCAAGAGAUUUUGGGCUCUUCCAUGUGCCAAAGAUCCACCUUCCCAGCAGAUCCCGGGAUUCGGUGACUUCCGG
Molecule: long non-coding RNA, 1078 nt
Filed under: Manacus vitellinus (golden-collared manakin)
Lineage: Eukaryota; Metazoa; Chordata; Aves; Passeriformes; Pipridae
Description: lncRNA (ENSMVIG00005009244.1)
Source: RNAcentral